Molecule: ribosomal RNA, 441 nt
Filed under: Triticum aestivum (bread wheat)
Lineage: Eukaryota; Viridiplantae; Streptophyta; Magnoliopsida; Poales; Poaceae
Description: partial small subunit ribosomal RNA
Source: RNAcentral
AUGACCGGCACGCGCAGUACUCCAAGGGCCGCGACCCCUAUAAAGUCCCCGGCGUCCAGUACGAUCGAUCACAAUUCACAAGUGCACAGCUCAAGGCAAACAACAGAUAUUAGACGAGCAGCAAGGAAUCGUUGGUGCCUGUCUUCCCACCUGAUCGAAGCAUCCGUCAGAGGAUCCAUGGCCAUGGAGAGGUUCUUCACUGCGCUCGUCUUCUGCGAGGCGCCGCUGGACAGCUACGGCACAUCGGUUCUCACCGCGGGCGCGGUCAACAGGCUGGUCUCAGGCGGCAGCGGCGCAACGAAGCCGGCGGCCACGGCUAACAAGGCAGAGGCUGAGAAGGAGCAGGGUUUCUUCUCCGCCAAGCCUGCGCUGCAGCGCCGUGCUGGGUUUGAGCUCGCGUUCGACGGCCUCAAUUGCUUCGACACCGUCGUCAUGCACUGA